This 253-nucleotide ribosomal RNA is filed under the name uncultured bacterium. Its description in RNAcentral is "partial 16S ribosomal RNA". It matches the Rfam family "Bacterial small subunit ribosomal RNA", at positions 524 to 776 of the family's 1533-position model. The record is from RNAcentral.
UACGUAGGGGGCAAGCGUUGUCCGGAUUUAUUGGGCGUAAAGAGCGUGUAGGCGGUUUGGUAGGUCCGCUGUGAAAACUCGAGGCUCAACCUCGAGACGCCGGUGGAAACCAUCAGACUAGAGUCCGGAAGAGGAGAGUGGAAUUCCUGGUGUAGCGGUGAAAUGCGUAGAUAUCAGGAGGAACACCGGUGGUGUAGACGGCUCUCUGGACCGUAACUGACGCUGAGACACGAAAGCGUGGGUAGCAAACGGG